This 281-nucleotide ribosomal RNA is filed under the name uncultured soil bacterium. Its description in RNAcentral is "partial 16S ribosomal RNA". It matches the Rfam family "Bacterial small subunit ribosomal RNA", at positions 26 to 313 of the family's 1533-position model. The record is from RNAcentral.
AGAAUGAACGCUGGCGGCGUGCUUUACACAUUCAAGUCGAGCGAGGCGGCCCGCAAGGGCCAGUCGAGCGGCGAACGGGUGAGUAACGCGUGGAUGACCUGCCCUGAGGUGGGGAAUAACCCGGGGAAACUCGGGCUAAUACCGCAUAUGACCGCGAGGUCAAAGAGGGUCGCAAGAUCUCUGCCACAGGACGGGGUCCGCGUUCGAUUAGCUAGGUUGGUAGGGUAAUGGCCUACCAAGGCGACGAUCGAUAGCCGGCCUGAGAGGUGAUACGGCCACAC